CGCACGAGAGCAGCACUUGGCUACAGCAAGACAUGAUACACCGUAAACUGCGGCACGGCUCACGUUAAAAGCCUGCGCAGCCGACGUUCCUCUCCGACAUCAACGGCAGAUGGACCUACGACUUUCACCAUGGCCGCUAUUGUAUCAACUCGUCAUCAGCCGAGGGAGUGAGAACGCAGAGAGAGUGCGUUUGAAAUAACAACUAACGUACAACGCAGAAUCAGCCUAUUGAGUUAUAUUCCGGACAUGAGCACUUUCAGGAGGACCCUGCACUCCUUACUACAUAGAGCGUGGACUCAAGAAAUGAUUAUUGGCAAAGACAUUAUUUUUAAGAGUAGUUAAGGCUGAAUUUCCCCAAUGGCAAGAACUGAAGGCAUAUAUGCAUAUUUAGGGAAAUUUUACGAUCACUGUUACUUCUAGUAAGUUCGUAAUCUUAUUCGUAGAACGUGCAGAUGAAAAAUGUGUAAGGUGCAUACGCUUUUCCGUGUCAUAACCUAACCCCUUUUGCCAAAAAAACCUGAAAUCUAAAGAUGUAAGGCAAUUACGUGGAACAUGAUAUAACUAACACCCAGCAGUCACGGAAUCUCCACGAUGUCCCUUAUUUUUUGCUAACAUGUAAAGCACGUGAAGAGCGGCGAAAUCUACAUUCUGAUUGCGGCAUUAAGAAGUGACUCGGAUUCACUGCCAUUCUUCCUGAAUGCAGACAACUUAUAACAGAUCACACUGUAAAUCAAACGCAGAAUGUAAAGUGCGUGAAAUAAAGGUAAGUUCUAAAAUGUUCAAAAUUGAAAUCAUCAAU
This is a long non-coding RNA of Schistocerca gregaria, 799 nucleotides long. RefSeq lists it as uncharacterized. The transcript is spliced from 3 exons. NCBI's taxonomy places the organism in Eukaryota, Metazoa, Arthropoda, Insecta, Orthoptera, Acrididae. The record is from RefSeq and is a predicted model, not a curated record.